CCUACGGGAGGCAGCAGUGGGGAAUCUUGGACAAUGGGCGCAAGCCUGAUCCAGCCAUGCCGCGUGAGUGAUGAAGGCCCUAGGGUCGUAAAGCUCUUUCGCCUGUGAAGAUAAUGACGGUAGCAGGUAAAGAAACCCCGGCUAACUCCGUGCCAGCAGCCGCGGUAAUACGGAGGGGGUUAGCGUUGUUCGGAAUUACUGGGCGUAAAGCGCACGUAGGCGGAUUAGUCAGUCAGAGGUGAAAUCCCAGGGCUCAACCCUGGAACUGCCUUUGAUACUGCUAGUCUUGAGUUCGAGAGAGGUAAGUGGAAUUCCGAGUGUAGAGGUGAAAUUCGUAGAUAUUCGGAGGAACACCAGUGGCGAAGGCGGCUUACUGGCUCGAUACUGACGCUGAGGUGCGAAAGUGUGGGGAGCAAACAGGAUUAGAUACCCUGGUAGUCCACACCGUAAACGAUGAAUGCCAGUCGUCGGAUAGUAUACUAUUCGGUGACACACCUAACGGAUUAAGCAUUCCGCCUGGGGAGUACGGUCGCAAGAUUAAAACUCAAAGGAAUGACGG
RNAcentral lists this ribosomal RNA (559 nucleotides) under uncultured bacterium. Its description in RNAcentral is "bacterial SSU rRNA". It matches the Rfam family "Bacterial small subunit ribosomal RNA", at positions 338 to 916 of the family's 1533-position model. The record is from RNAcentral.